RNAcentral lists this small RNA (1592 nucleotides) under Histoplasma capsulatum. RNAcentral describes it as "hypothetical RNA". RNAcentral also lists the same sequence under 1 other name. The record is from RNAcentral. Lineage: Eukaryota; Fungi; Ascomycota; Eurotiomycetes; Onygenales; Ajellomycetaceae.
AUGGAGUACUUGUGGACUGUUGGCGUUGCGUGCCGCUUCCGGUCGUAAUUUGGCUUUCGAGGUAUUGCUGCGGUGGCUGUGGCUGUGAUUGUGGUUGUGAUUGUGGUUGAGAGCAUGUGUCAGGUUCCGGCUGUACAGCGACCACCUCAGACGGACUGGGGGCAGUUGACGGUCUACUAUUCUGUUGUUGGCUGUCUGGAGAGGAAUUAGCUACGUCUGCGAGGGCGAUGAGGGAGCUGUAUUGGUGGGUUCGUCCCAUCUGGGGUCCCUGUCGGUAGGGCCGACCAGUGAGCGGGGAGACAGUUUGCGCCUCAAGGUUAUGGUUUUCUUGCUGCUGGCGAGUGAUAUAGAGGCGCCGCGAACGGAACAUUGCUGCUGCUGCUUCACCGACUAGAUCAGGGUCCUCAUGAGGAGAGAUGGGCAGUUGAUCAGCAAGGUCAGCUUGGCUGGCAACCGUUCCUGCGACUUCACUGGAAGUCGUCUGGAGGGGCGAGUGCGAACGAGGAUUCACAACGCUUUCCUCGUGCAAACUAGCCAAAAUGCUAGGGGAUGAAUUCCGAUGACCAUAGCCCGCCAUGUCCGCCCUUAGAGGAGGUGAAGAGAGCGCGGAAGAAGAGGCUGCGUCGGGUUCGCUCACACCAUUCAUAGUCUCAGAUAUCGCCUGGAAUAAAGGCGGGAAUAUACAUCUCGCUAAAUUGUCAUACUGAGAAGCCGCUGACGCCCUCCGCUUUGCCACAUUGUGGUAGUGGCGUGCCUGCAGCCCGCCCGCAACAGGAACCCAGUCUGAAACAUUAUAAAGAGAAUGCAAAUGGGAAUUGGUCAGGUGGCUCUGCUGACGGCGGAGACCUCCAACAGACGAACUUGCUGUUACGCCCCCGAAUCCCGGAGCAUGAUGCUGGGAGGAAAGGAGGCCGGACGAUUGGGUUGGGGUAUUAGAGGACGCUUGGUUUCUUCCCGCAACGUUGGUAUUGGGUACUAGUAAUGUGCCAGAUUCACUCUCUCUGUUGUAUGUUGGAUGAUGUCCAGAAUGAUAUGAAGGAGCCGCAGAGACGUAGGACGGGGCGUUAGAACGGAUGGAGGAGGUUUCGGGGUCGAAAGAGACGGUUUGGCGAGGAGUAUAUGGGGGCAGCGGUUCCGGAUAUGGGUGCAGCAAAGAUCGAGCGGGACGAAAAGCCAUGACGUUGAGCGCCAGCUAGUCCCUCCUGCAGAUUUCCGCAAGCUGGUUGGCGAGAUAGAAUUGUAUACGAAUAUUGUAGCAAUUGCGUUGUGUGUUCGUUCACUGUUGAGAUGAUGAGACAGGAAACAGGAAACAGGAGAGGUUUAAGAUGCUCUCAAGGCUUUUCCUCGGGAACAACACCGGUCGCGUGUGGAGUGUGGAGCAACUAGACAGUGAUGAUUCCUACCCCGCAGGCACAACGAUGGCUGAUAUCAAUGAUGUGUCUAGCCCUUGCGGUGAUGGAAGGGACCAGGGUGGCAAGUAGACUUAGGCGCAUGCAGGCCCCGGCACACGUUUUUCCUGCCGUUUAACCGUCACAGUGACGCACAGCCUGCGGGGAAGCGACUGGUACAGGCAGAAUAGAGGUGAGAUGGGG